Gossypium raimondii (Peruvian cotton) is the source of this 108-nucleotide non-coding RNA. The record is from Rfam. Lineage: Eukaryota; Viridiplantae; Streptophyta; Magnoliopsida; Malvales; Malvaceae.
CUAUUAAUUUCGGUUUAGGGUCUGAAAAACUCAUAUAGUCAUGUGUUGUCAUCAGCUUCUUCUCUUGCACUUUUCACGAGAUUGGAGUUAAAUAACAGCACUACAUUG